This 8304-nucleotide long non-coding RNA is filed under the name Gossypium barbadense (sea-island cotton). Its description in RNAcentral is "long non-coding RNA (GBAR_LNC006325)". The record is from RNAcentral. Lineage: Eukaryota; Viridiplantae; Streptophyta; Magnoliopsida; Malvales; Malvaceae.
GUUCAUCCUUUUCUCACCUUCAUUUAGCCUAAAUUAGAAAGAAAAACAAAGAAAAAAUUUUCUCAUCCUUUGGUUCAUCCUUGGCCAAAAAUUUUAAGGAGGAAAGAAGAAGAAAGGUGAAGAGAUUCGGCCAUGCAUGUAGCUAGGCUAAGGUAUGUUUGAUGAUGUUCCAUGAGAUGCAUGCAUGUUUUAGUUGUUAGCUUGAGUUCUACCUAGCCCAUGGUCUAAAUCUUGCUAUGUGAUGGAAAUGGCACUUGACCAUGGAUGCAUCAUUCUUGGUUGAUGUUUGAUGUUGUGGUGAUGAGGCAUGAGGAUGAGUUAAGAUUCGGCCUAGGUGGAGGUCGUGUUAAUGCCAUUGCAUGCAAAAUAUGAAGCUUGUUAAUGAUGCAUGUGAUGAUGGCUUGAUGAUUUUUGAACCUCCUUUUUAGCAUUUUUGUGUGAGCACAUAUGUGCAUUGAUUGCUAAAUGGAGAAGAAUCGGCUAGCAAGAUGUGUGCUAAGGCCGAAUGUAACUUUGCAUGUUAAUGAGCAAUGCAUGUGUUAAAUUGAUGAAAAGGGGGAGGAUGCUUUACUAGUGUGUAUAUGUGUGUAUUAAGUGUUGAAAUCGACCCCAAAAAUAGACAUGCAUAUUCGGCCAAGGGGAAAGAAAUUAGCUAAUAUGUUGUGUUGAUGCAUGAUUUUUGCAUGUAUGAGACUUUAAUGUCUAAUGUAUAAAUAUGGGCUAAGUGCCUUGUGUUCAUCUUUUUGAUGCCUAAAUGAUGAAAUCAAUUUAUUUGUUUAAUUAACCUCAAGAGCAAAGGGGAAAUAAAUCCGAUAAAGGGAAGGAAAAAGUGGUCGAAUAGUUAGCGGAAUCGUUCGACAACACCCGAGGUAAGUUCUUGAGUAAGAGAGCUUAAAUUACGAUGUGAUUAAAUCAUGCUCUAUGUGUGGCUAUUGAGCCGAAUGUGCAAGGACGAUAUGUGCCUUGUGUUUGAGUUUCGCAAAUGAAAAUGAAAUAUGAAUGUGCCAUGAAUUAUUGUUAGAUGUGCAUGAUUAAUUGAAUGCUGUCCGGGCUAAGUCCCGAAGGCUUUGUGCUAAGUGAAUAUAUCCGGACUAAGAUCCGAAGGCAUUUGUGCGAGAUACAAAUUCCGGGUUAAGCCCCGAAGGCCUUUGUGCGAGAUACAAAUUCCGGGUUAAGCCCCGAAGGCCUUUGUGCGAGAUACUAAAUCCGGGUUAAGUCCCGAAGGCAUUCGUGCGAGUCAUUAAAUCCGGGUUAAGUCCCGAAGGCAUUGUGUGAGUUACUAAAACCGGGCUAUGUCCCGAAGGCAUUUGAACGAGGAGCUAUAUCCGGUUAAAUCCCGAAGGUACGUGAUUUGGUAAUGAAUGAGCUUGCUGUAAAAUUCCAGCGAAUACUCGAAAAACAUCCCAAUAUGGGGAUAUGUUACGUAUGUGUUGAAUUUAAUCGAGCCCUUACAAAUAAAUGUUCGCUCAGUUGAUAAACGAGCUACCGGCCUUCGGCUAAGUUAGUCUAUUGUGUAUGUACAUAAUGGUUGUUAAUGUUGUGAAGCAAGUUUGAUAUCGGUAAAUUGCGUAUUAUGAAAUAUUCCGUUUAGCUAAAUGUGUGUUAUUCUUUGUUUAUGCUGGAAUUCCUUGCUCAAAACUUACUAAGCAUAAAUUGCUUACUCGUUACACUGCUCCUCUGUUUUAUAGAUUUUUGGUUCUCCAGCUAUCGGACUCGGGAUCUUGAAGUCGAAGUCGCCCACACUAUCAAAGGCUCUUUUGGGUACUAUUUUGGUUGAAUUUUGAUAUGGCAUGUAUAGGACUACCCAUUGUUGUUUUUCGAGUACUUUAUGAAAUGUCUAAGUGUACAGCCAUGCGAAAAUGGCUUGUAGAAGUGGAGUAUGGCAUUAGACCAUUCGUGCUUAUGAAUGUAUAGAUGGUUUCAUGAUGUAACUAUAGUUGGAAUGGAAGUGUUGAGCAAAUGAUCAGCCAUUGGAAUGGCUAAGUAUGAUCAUAUGUGGGCAUAUGUAUGACAAGGCCCUAGUUGGUCCAUGAAACCCCGAAAAUAGGUAAGGUUUACUCUGAAAACAGAGGCUGACAGCAGCAGUGGUGUGGAUUGGAAAAAUCACAAGAAUUCGUAGGAGUGGAAUUAAAUAGUGAAUAAAUUAUGUAAUCGAACCUUGAUGAAUCUACUUUCAUAUGAAAGUAACGAAAUAAUCAUAUGAAGAGUAAAGUAAGAGAUAUUCAGGUUCUUGUGGGACAGGGCCAGAACAGUUUCUGGAUUCCCUGUUCCGAAUUUGGAAAUUCACUAUAAAUUGACCAGAGAUAAUUAGGAGUCAUACCAUAUAUGUAUGGAUUCCUCUCUGAGUCUAGUUUCCAUAGAAACAAACGGCAUCAGUAUUGAAGCUCUGUGCAGAGAGAUAUCCAAGUCGUAAUGGGAAAAGGUCAGUGUAGUCGACCCCUGUAACAUGGGAGACUUUGACUAAUAAACUGUACUAAUUGGCCCAACCAAAAAUUCUAGAAAAAAAUAUGUAGAUGAGCAUAUGAGUCUAGUUUCAGGGAAAAAUCACGAAACUUAUUUUCGAGUUGUGAAGCUCAAGAUAUGAUUUUUAAAGCGACUAGUACACAGAUUGGGCAGUGUCUGGAAUUUUUUUCAAAGUUUGUUAACACCUCGUGUUCGACUCCGGUGUCAGACUCGGGUUCGGGGUGUUACAUUAAAUUGGUAUCAGAGCUACGGUUUAGUCGAUUCUAGGACUACCGUAAUGUGUUGGGUCUAGCUAUACAUGCCAUUUUAUGUGAUUACUUGAUAGUGUGGUGAUUUCUGACAAUUGUAAAUGUGUUUAUUUAUAGUAAUGGAUCCCGAUCGUAACCGAGAGGUAGCUGAUGAUCUUGAGAGUGUAGCGCCUGCUCCCACACAAGGGACAGCGCCGGCGGACUCUCAACCUAAUGCUAGUAAUCCGAAUGAUGAAGCUAGACAAGCAUUCUAUAGCGUGAUGAAUGAUUGGUUCAACCAAUACAUUCGAACUAAUAUGGCUGUUCCACAACCUCCAUUCCCGACAAAUACUACCCCCGCACCUACAAUACCUCCGGUAACUGACCAAAUAAGGUCAAAUAAGCCCCCAGUUGAUAGAAUCCGAACACAUGGGGCUACUUAAUUUAAAGCUACGGAUAGCGACGAUGCCGAGCAAGCUGAAUUUUGGUUGGACAACACUAUCCGGGUACUCGAUGAGCUAUCUUGUACACCCGAUGAAUGCCUAAAGUGUACUAUCUCCUUGCUACGUGAUUCUGCCUACUAUUGGUGGAGUACUCUGACUUCUGUUGUGCCCCGAGAGCAAGUAACUUGGGAGUUUUUCCAAACUGAGUUUCGGAAAAAGUAUAUCAGUCAGAGAUUUGUUGAUCAAAAACGGAAGGAAUUUCUUGAGCUUAAGCAAGGUUCCAUGUCGGUUACUGAUUACGAGCGAAAAUUUGUUAGACUUAGCAAAUACGCUCGGGAAUGUGUUUCGUCCGAAGCUAUUAUGUGUAAACGCUUCGAGGAUGGGCUGAAUGAAGAUAUAAAAAUGUUCGUUGGCGUUCUUGAAAUACGAGAGUUCGUGGUACUUGUUGAACGAGCUUGUAAAGCCGAAGAGCUUAGAAAAGAAAAGCAAAGAGUUGAUGAGGGAACUGGAGAGUUUCGUAAAAGAUCCUCGGGAAGGUCUCUUCAACAGAAAUCGAAGAGAUUUCGAGAUGAUGCGGGCCAGUUUAGAGGCACUUCGGGCCUUCUUAGACGAGAUCGUGAUCGACCCCCUAUGGGUACACGAGGCACUUCGGUCGCCAGUGUUGGGAAUGAACGUCGAGAUAGAACGAAAUGUCGAUAUUGCGGUAAAUGGCAUUCGGGGAGUUGUAGAUUCCCUGACCGCUCCUGUUACAAGUGCGGAUCAGUUGACCACUUCAUUAAAGAUUGCCCAAGGUUGUUUGAACAGAAUGAAAAUCAGAGUGGGAAACCGGGUGCUACCACUGCUCGAGGUAGACCAUCUGGAAAUACGGGCAAUGCUAGUGGUGGUCAGAGAGGAUCUAGAGAUGAUAUAACCAGAUCCGAAGCUCGUGCGCCUGCUAGAGCUUAUGCUAUACGUGCCCGCGAGGAUGCUUCCUCGCCUGAAGUUAUUACCGGUACAUUCACUCUCUUUGAUACUAAUGUAAUUGCUUUGAUUGACCCCGGUUCUACUCAUUCUUACAUAUGUGAAACCUUAGCAUCCAGUAAGACUUUACCUAUUGAGUCUACUGAGUUCGUAAUUCGGGUGUCAAAUCCCUUGGGUCGUUACGUGUUUGUCGACAAAGUGUGUAAGAAAUGUCCCCUGGAAAUUCGAGGUUCCUGUUUUCCGGCGAACUUGAUGCUUUUGCCGUUUGAUGAAUUUGAUGUUAUCCUUGGUUUGGAUUGGUUGAUCGCGCAUGAUGCGGUUGUGAAUUGCAAGAGCAAGACUAUUGAUUUGAGGUGCGCAAAUAACGAAGUAAUCCAAAUUGAGUCUGCGGACUUGGAGGGGAUGCCAGCUGUAAUAUCAGCAAUGUUGGCACAGAAAUAUGUAAGAAAAGGGUGCGAAGCAUACCUUGCGUAUGUACUUGAUGACAAAGAAUUAGAAAAGAAACCCGAAUCUGUGCCGGUGGUUUGUGAAUACCCGGAUGUUUUUCCGGAAGAAUUACCGGGUUUACCACCUGUUCGGGAGGUAGAGUUUGGUAUUGAGCUUGUACCUGGGACUACGCCGAUUUCGAUAGCUCCGUACCGUAUGGUACCAACCGAGUUAAAGGAGUUGAAAGCUCAGUUGCAAGAACUGACGGAUAGAGGUUUCGCUCGACCAAGUUUUUCACCUUGGGAUGCACCAGUAUUGUUCGUGAAAAAGAAGGACGGAACUAUGAGGUUGUGCAUUGACUAUCGUCAGCUGAAUAAAGUGACGAUAAAGAACAAAUAUCCGUUGCCACGCAUCGAUGAUUUGUUCGACCAACUGAAGGGAGCCUCAGUGUUCUCAAAAAUAGAUUUGAGAUCGGGCUAUUAUCAGUUGCGAAUUCGAGAUUCAGAUAUUCCCAAAACUGCCUUCAGAACGAGAUAUGGUCACUACGAAUUCUUAGUGAUGCCGUUUGGGCUCACUAAUGCCCCUGCGGUAUUUAUGGAUUUGAUGAAUCGGAUCCUCAGACCGUAUUUGGAUCGGUUCGUAGUUGUGUUCAUUGAUGACAUUUUGGUCUAUUCAAGAGAUGAGACCGAACAUGCUGAGCAUCUGAGGCUAGUGCUGCAAAUUUUGCGGGAUAAGCAGUUAUACGCUAAGUUCAGUAAGUGUGAGUUCUGGUUAAGAGAGGUUAGCUUCUUGGGUCAUGUGGUAUCCGCGUCAGGUAUUCGUGUUGACCCGAACAAAAUUUCAGCCAUACUUGACUGGAAACCUCCGAGAAAUAUUACUGAAGUUCGGAGCUUUUUGGGGCUCGCCGGUUAUUACCGACGAUUUGUGAAAGGUUUCUCGAUGAUAGCCACACCAAUGACGAAGCUACUUCAAAAGGAUGUUAAGUUCGAGUGGACGGAGAAAUGUCAGAAAAGUUUCGACCAACUGAAAACUCAUUUGACUGAAGCUCCAAUUUUGGUGCAACCCGAAUCAGGUAAAGAGUUUGUCAUUUAUAGUGACGCAUCCCUACUUGGGUUGGGUUGCGUAUUGAUGCAAGAAGGUCGAGUCGUGGCCUAUGCGUCGAGACAAUUGAAGCCACACGAGAGGAAGUAUCCGACCCAUGAUCUCGAACUAGCUGCCAUCGUGUUUGCUUUAAAAAUAUGGCGACAUUAUCUGUUUGGUGAGAAGUGCCAUGUAUUUUCGGAUCACAAAAGUCUCAAAUAUUUGAUGACUCAACGGGACUUGAAUCUGCGACAAAGACGUUGGCUUGAGUUGUUGAAACAUUACGAGCUUGUCAUUGAUUACUACCCGGGAAAGGCUAACGUGGUUGCGGACGCCUUAAGCCGGAAGUCAUUGUUUGCUUUACGAGCGACGAAUGUGCAUUUUUCUGUUCUACCAGACAAUGUGUUAGUAGCUGAAUUAAGAGCUAAACCAUUAUUGACUCACCAAAUUCGUGAAGCUCAGAAAGUCGAUGAUGAAUUGGUUGCAAAACGGGCUAAGUGUGUUCCGAACGAGGAAUCAGAGUUUCAAAUUGAUGAUGGUGAUUGUUUGAGGUUCAGAAAUCGUUUGUGUGUUCCAAGAAAUUCGGAACUCAUUUCGAUGAUUCUGAACGAAGCCCAUUGUAGCCGAAUGUCAAUUCACCCGGGGAGUACGAAAAUGUACAACGAUUUGAAACGUCAAUUUUGGUGGCAUGGUAUGAAACGGGACAUCUCCGACUUUGUUUCGAGAUGUUUAAUAUGUCAACAAGUGAAAGCGGAACAUCAAGUGCCUUCAGGAUUACUCCAGCCGAUCAUGAUACCCGAGUGGAAAUGGGAUCGAGUCACAAUGGACUUUGUGUCCGGACUGCCCUUGUCAGCAAGUAAGAAGGAUGCGAUAUGGGUUGUUGUUGAUAGACUGACUAAGUCGGCUCAUUUCAUCCCCGUACGUACGGAUUUUUCAUUGGAUAAACUAGCUGAAUUGUAUGUUUAUCAAAUUGUGAGAUUACACGGGGUACCUAUUUCUAUCGUGUCGGAUAGAGAUCCGAGAUUCACCUCACGAUUUUGGAAGAAAUUGCAAGAAGCUCUGGGUACCAAGCUGCAUUUUAGCACUGCUUUUCACCCCCAAACUGAUGGUCAAUCCGAGCGGAUAAUUCAGAUACUUGAGGAUAUGUUGAGAUGUUGCAUCCUCGAGUUCAGUAGUUCAUGGGAACGGUAUUUACCUUUGAUUGAAUUCGCUUACAAUAAUAGUUUUCAAUCAAGUAUUAAGAUGGCACCUUACGAGGCUUUGUACGGUCGUAAAUGCCGUACACCAUUGUUUUGGACCGAGCUCGGUGAAAGUAAAAUUUUCGGAGUUGAUUUGAUUAAAGAUGCUGAACAGAAAGUAAAGGUAAUCCGUGAAAGUCUGAAGGUAGCCACGGAUCGUCAGAAGUCGUAAGCAGAUUUGAAACGAAAAGACAUCGAGUAUCAGGUGGGAGACAAAGUGUUCCUUAAGGUUUCACCUUGGAAAAAGAUACUCAGGUUCGGCCGUAAGGGCAAGUUGAGCCCAAGAUUCAUUGGACCGUACGAAAUCUCCGAACGAGUUGGUCCGGUUGCGUAUAGAUUGAUUUUGCCCCCGGAGCUUGAAAAGAUUCAUGACGUCUUUCACGUUUCGAUGCUUCGACGCUAUCGAUCUGAUCCAUCGCACAUAAUUAGCCCAUCAGAGGUUGAAAUUCAAGUCGAUAUGAGUUAUGAAGAAGAGCCGAUGCAUAUCCUAGCUCGUGAAGUGAAGGAGUUGCGAAACAAAAGGGUUCCGUUAGUGAAGGUGUUAUGGCUCAAACACGGGAUUGAGGAAGCUACUUGGGAAACUGAGAGCUCGACGAAAGAACGAUACCCAAACCUAUUUACCGGUAAGAUUUUCGGGGACGAAAAUUUCUUAAGUGGGGGAGAGUUGUGACAGCCCAAAAUUGACCCUAGUCGGGAAGUGGUUUCGGGACCACAAAACCGAGUCAUAAAAAUAAUUGAUUUCCAUAUUCUAUGCUUAUUAUGUGUGUACAUGAGUAUGUGGAAGUUUCAUUCUCCAAUUUUGCCAAUUGCAUGAGAAAUUAUUAAAUAGGGAUUGAUAUGAGACAUGGUGAAAAUAUGAUAGGCUAAUUUAAAAUGGUCUAUUAAUGCAUGUUGUGAAAAUGAUGGGUUUGCAUGUCAAAUUACCCAAAAUUUGAGCUAGUGGUUGGCCAUGCUAUGGGUGGAAACAUGUUGGGAACAUGUUGGCCUAGUGAGGUAUGUAGGAAAAAAAUAAAAUAAUAGGCAUGGAAAUUAAAUAAUGAAAAGGAGCAUGAUGAAUACACAAAAAAAAAGUGUGUAGUUGAUUCUUUUCCCCCCCCCCAUUGCCGUGAGCUAAAGAAAAGAGAGGAGAGGAUCUUUGUUCAUCCUUUUCUCACCUUCAUUUAGCCUAAAUUAGAAAGAAAAACAAAGAAAAAAAUUUCUCAUCCUUUGGUUCAUCCUUGGCCAAAAAUUUUAAGGAGGAAAGAAGAAGAAAGGUGAAGAGAUUCGACCAUGCAUGUAGCUAGGCUAAGGUAUGUUUGAUGAUGUUCCAUGAGAUGCAUGCAUGUUUUAGUUGUUAGCUUGAGUUCUACCUAGCCCAUGGUCUAAAUCUUGCUAUGUGAUGGAAAUGGCACUUGACCAUGGAUGCAUCAUUCUUGGUUGAUGUUUGAUGUUGUGGUGAUGAGGCAUGAGGAUGAGUUAAGAUUCGGC